ACGACCGUACCGCAAACCGACACUGGUGCGCGAGAUGAGUAUUCUAAGGCGCUUGAGAGAACUCAGGAGAAGGAACUCGGCAAAUUGACACCGUAACUUCGGAAGAAGGUGUGCCUUUAGUAGGUGAAGGGAUUUACUCCCGGAGCCCAAUGAGGUUGCAAAAAAUCGGUGGCUGCGACUGUUUAAUAAAAACACAGCACUCUGCAAACACGAAAGUGGACGUAUAGGGUGUGACGCCUGCCCGGUGCUGGAAGAUUAAAUGAUGGGGUGCAAGCUCUUGAUUGAAGUCCCAGUAAACGGCGGCCGUAACUAUAACGGUCCUAAGGUAGCGAAAUUCCUUGUCGGGUAAGUUCCGACCUGCACGAAUGGCGUAACGAUGGCCACACUGUCUCCUCCUGAGACUCAGCGAAGUUGAAAUGUUUGUGAUGAUGCAAUCUCCCCGCGGAAAGACGGAAAGACCCCAUGAACCUUUACUGUAGCUUUGUAUUGGACUUUGAACAGAUCUGUGUAGGAUAGGUGGGAGGCUUUGAAGCAGGGUCGCUAGAUCUUGUGGAGCCAACGUUGAAAUACCACCCUGGUGUGUUUGAGGUUCUAACCUAGGCCCGUAAUCCGGGUCGGGGACAGUGCAUGGUAGGCAGUUUGACUGGGGCGGUCUCCUCCCAAAGCGUAACGGAGGAGUUCGAAGGUACGCUAGGUACGGUCGGACAUCGUGCUAAUAGUGCAAUGGCAUAAGCGUGCUUAACUGCGAGACUGACAAGUCGAGCAGAUGCGAAAGCAGGACAUAGUGAUCCGGUGGUUCUGUAUGGAAGGGCCAUCGCUCAACGGAUAAAAGGUACUCUGGGGAUAACAGGCUGAUACCGCCCAAGAGUUCAUAUCGACGGCGGUGUUUGGCACCUCGAUGUCGGCUCAUCUCAUCCUGGGGCUGUAGCCGGUCCCAAGGGUAUGGCUGUUCGCCAUUUAAAGAGGUACGUGAGCUGGGUUUAAAACGUCGUGAGACAGUUUGGUCCCUAUCUUCCGUGGGCGCUGCAGAUUUGAGGAAGCCUGCUCCUAGUACGAGAGGACCGGAGUGGACGCACCGCUGGUGUAUCGGUUGUCAUGCCAAUGGCAUUGCCGAGUAGCUAUGUGCGGAAGAGAUAACCGCUGAAAGCAUCUAAGCGGGAAACUCGUUUCAAGAUGAGAUCUGCCGGGGCCUUGAGCCCCCUGAAGAGUCGUUCAAUACCAGGACGUUGAUAGGUCGGGUGUGGAAGCGCAGUAAUGCGUUAAGCUAACCGAUACUAAUUGCUCGUGCGGCUUGACC
RNAcentral lists this ribosomal RNA (1297 nucleotides) under metagenome. Its description in RNAcentral is "bacterial LSU rRNA". It matches the Rfam family "Bacterial large subunit ribosomal RNA", at positions 1638 to 2925 of the family's 2925-position model. The record is from RNAcentral.